RNAcentral lists this ribosomal RNA (312 nucleotides) under Triticum aestivum (bread wheat). RNAcentral describes it as "partial small subunit ribosomal RNA". The record is from RNAcentral. Lineage: Eukaryota; Viridiplantae; Streptophyta; Magnoliopsida; Poales; Poaceae.
AUGCCUUCUCUCACAAGCCCAUGGCUUCGUCUCCUAGUGCUUCUCGUGGCCAUGACCACCUUCCUGCAGCAUGCCCUCGCGGCGGCCGGUGGCAGUGGGAACCCCACCGCCGGGUUCCAGAAAGUGCAGCUCCCCGACGGCGACUUCCAGGUGCAGAGCCCAUACAACAUGCCGGAGAACCAGCGGUUCCGGUACCGCGACGGCUUGCGGACGUUCUGGGUUCAUCGCAACGACAAGCCCUUCAACACCGCCACCCACACCAACCCGCGCUCCGAAGUCCGGCUACGUGAUGACUUUGAAGUACCGCUAUAA